AGAGACUCGGAGCUUUCUGGUUGUAGUAACCAAAUUUUGUCCGGGUCCUCGAGUUUUUUUGAUUACGUAACUCUACUUUACAUCUAAUUUUUGAUCUUUUUCUGGUCCAAUUUCAGGCCCGAUUUUCGGCCCGAUGUCGGGCCCGUUACUGUAAUCAAUCAGGGAGCUGUCACCUCUCUUUUAAGUCAGAGCAUGGGUGUUGAAUUGUGAUUUGUUUUCAAGGGCGGUGGGAGCCCCUUUUGUUCAUUUAAAAGGACCAUCGAAUUUAUUUCGAGAGGGGGAGGGAGAGAACGAAGAAGGACUACCGAUUACAACGAGAACUCCCCCAAAAUCCCCUAAUCCCACUACACCCUAAAUCCAUUACACCCUAAAUUCAUUACACCCCAAUCCCUCCACAAAAGAAAAUUGACAAAAAUAAACAGAAAUACAAAGCUUUUCUAGCCGAAACUUUGGGGGUUCAAAGCUUCCGAAUUCCCAAAUUUUUGGAGCCAGCAGCCUAGGGCUCAUCCAGACUGCAAAAGAAGAACAAAGUUAGUUUUCAAAGAUUGGUACUCCAAACAAGCCUUUUUGUAAUUCUCAAUCAUUCACAUAUCUUUAGUGUCUUAAAUCCUAUACAUAUUGAUAUACAUGUUAGUGUCGCAUGCUAUAUUAUAUAUCACCAUGUAAGCUACUUACAGUCUAAUAACUUUCAUAAUUGAAUAAAUAAACGACUCCCUAAAACUAACAUUAGCUGGAAAAAUGAAGCUUCUUUAUUUAAUAAAGUUUUCAAGUAGAAAAUCAUUUGUAUAAACAUUUAGAUUACCGAUUUAGCUUUAAUAACAAAACAGUCAAAUUUUUCAAGCAACCUAAAGUUAGUAACAAGACUACCAUCAUCAAUCAAGUAAACUCAGAAUAAACAAAGGGCUCCACCUUUUACCUUUCUCGUCCUCUGCUCCGGCGAGUCCGUCGUCGACAGAGACUUUUAUUUCAAUUUCCUGCUUUUGCCUCUCCGGCUCCAUUGAUCCCCAACUCUAUUGAAAACAGAAACCAAAAUAAAAAUAAAAAACUUAGAGAAAGACCACGAACUCAAACCCUAAAUCUAAAGAUCGGGGCUUGCAAACGACAUGCAAGCCCGGAUCGAACUAAAAAUAGGGAAACGCGAAUAGAAAGGGGGGGUUUUUUUUACCUGUUUCCCUUCCUUUGUCGCUGUGGGAGAAGAGAGGAGGCGGAGGCGGCGGGGGA
RNAcentral lists this long non-coding RNA (1221 nucleotides) under Linum usitatissimum (flax). Its description in RNAcentral is "long non-coding RNA (LUSI_LNC004930)". Lineage: Eukaryota; Viridiplantae; Streptophyta; Magnoliopsida; Malpighiales; Linaceae. The record is from RNAcentral.